AGAGUUUGAUCAUGGCUCAGAGUGAACGCUGGCGGCGUGCUUAACACAUGCAAGUCGAACGAUGAACCUAGCUUGCUAGGGGAUUAGUGGCGAAUGGGUGAGUAAUAUAUAGCUAACCUGCCCCUUAGAGAGGGACAACAGUUGGAAACGACUGCUAAUACCUCAUACUCCUUUCUGUCAUAAGAUAGAUCGGGAAACGCUCCGGCGCUAAGGGAUGGGGCUUUACGGUAUCAGGUAGUUGGUGGGGUAAAAGCCUACCAAGCCUAUGACGCCUAGCUGGUCUGAGAGGAUGAUCAGCCACACUGGAACUGAGACACGGUCCAGACUCCUACGGGAGGCAGCAGUGGGGAAUAUUGCACAAUGGAGGAAACUCUGAUGCAGCAACGCCGCGUGGAGGAUGACGCAUUUCGGUGUGUAAACUCCUUUUAUAUCCCAAGAUAAUGACGGUAGGAUAUGAAUAAGGACCGGCUAACUCCGUGCCAGCAGCCGCGGUAAUACGGAGGGUCCAAGCGUUACUCGGAAUCACUGGGCGUAAAGGAUGCGUAGGCGGAUAAUCAAGUCAAAAGUGAAAUCCCACGGCUUAA
This 584-nucleotide ribosomal RNA is filed under the name uncultured bacterium. RNAcentral describes it as "bacterial SSU rRNA". It matches the Rfam family "Bacterial small subunit ribosomal RNA", at positions 8 to 612 of the family's 1533-position model. The record is from RNAcentral.